This 397-nucleotide ribosomal RNA is filed under the name uncultured bacterium. RNAcentral describes it as "partial 16S ribosomal RNA". It matches the Rfam family "Bacterial small subunit ribosomal RNA", at positions 523 to 918 of the family's 1533-position model. The record is from RNAcentral.
AUACGUAGGGGGCAAGCGUUAUCCGGAUUUACUGGGUGUAAAGGGAGCGUAGACGGAAGGCCAAGUCUGAUGUGAAAGCCCGCGGCUCAACUGCGGGACUGCAUUGGAAACUGGUCAUCUGGAGUGCAGGAGGGGUAAGCGGAAUUCCUAGUGUAGCGGUGAAAUGCGUAGAUAUUAGGAGGAACACCGGUGGCGAAGGCGGCUUACUGGACUGUAACUGACGUUGAGGCUCGAAAGCGUGGGGAGCAAACAGGAUUAGAUUCCCUGGUAGUCCACGCCGUAAACGAUGAAUACUAGGUGUCGGGUUUCUAUAGAGAUUCGGUGCCGCAGCAAACGCAAUAAAUAUUCCACCUGGGGAGUACGUUCGCAAGAAUGAAACUCAAAUGAAUUGGCGGGG